GUGCUCACUUUGGCAGCACAUAUACUAAAAUUGGAGCGAUACAGAGAAGAUUAGCACGGCCCCUGAGCAAAGAUGACAUGCAAAUUCGUGAAGCAUUCCAUAUAUUA
Molecule: small nuclear RNA, 107 nt
Organism: Otolemur garnettii (small-eared galago)
Lineage: Eukaryota; Metazoa; Chordata; Mammalia; Primates; Galagidae
Source: Ensembl